AUGUAAAAGGUUUACCCUUUUGGAAUGGGAAACAUGACACUAUUCAUCACUCACACAAAUAAAUCAUUUAAUAUUUUGAUAAUUGAAUUGGUUUUUGCGGUUAAACUUUUUUUUUUUUUUUUUUGUAACACAUUGCACUUCAUGUGUUUACAGAUUUGUGCAGAAUUUGAGACAUACAGAAUUACCAUAGGCCCAUUAGAAUCAACAAUCUUUGCCAAACUGGCUCCGCUCUACAAAACUUAUGAAGAUGUUUGCAUACUGAAGAAGAGUCCUUGGACAAAUACUGAAACCCUCUUGGUGCCCACUACACAGACUAAUGAAAUUGAAGUAUCCAAAUGAAGACCCUAGCAGUAUGGAGUAUAUGGAUACAGACGUUGCCAGCAGUCAGGAGGUGAUCCAGAAGACUCGUGGGAAUCUAUUUGAAGGUGCAUCAUUGAAGACAGUCCAGCAGAAGUUGGAGUUUUAAAGGAUAAAGUUCUUCAGGACCUA
Long non-coding RNA from Carassius carassius (crucian carp), 489 nucleotides. RefSeq lists it as uncharacterized. The transcript has 3 exons. The record is from RefSeq and is a predicted model, not a curated record. NCBI's taxonomy places the organism in Eukaryota, Metazoa, Chordata, Actinopteri, Cypriniformes, Cyprinidae.